Molecule: ribosomal RNA, 229 nt
Filed under: uncultured bacterium
Lineage: Bacteria
Description: partial 16S ribosomal RNA
Rfam family: Bacterial small subunit ribosomal RNA
Source: RNAcentral
UACGUAGGGGGCAAGCGUUGUCCGGAUUUAUUGGGCGUAAAGAGCGUGUAGGCGGCCUGAAAGGUCAGCUGUGAAAACUCGAGGCUCAACCUCGAGACGUCGGUUGAAACCAUCUGGCUAGAGUCCGGAAGAGGAGAGUGGAAUUCCCGGUGUAGCGGUGAAAUGCGCAGAUAUCGGGGAAGAACACCCGUGGCGAAGGCGGCUCUCUGGGACGGUACUGACGCUGAGA